This 1637-nucleotide long non-coding RNA is filed under the name Olea europaea subsp. europaea. Lineage: Eukaryota; Viridiplantae; Streptophyta; Magnoliopsida; Lamiales; Oleaceae. The record is from RNAcentral.
AGGCUUUUCAAAAAAGAAAAAGAUUUUUUUUAAAAAAAAAUUAAUAAAGUGCUCCUAGAAGCACAUUAAACUAGCAACACUCAAUUUCAUGUUUACUGUCAAGGCGAGACGUUUCAUUCACAUCUCAAAUCUGGGUGACACACGCCUCAAGUUUAGGUGACAUGUCAUCUAAGUGUGCUUCUUAGAAUACUGCACGACGAACAUCAUUAUAGAAUAUCUAAUUUCUUGCUAUGUAAUCAAUAAAUGGUUGAUUAAGCCCCAACACUGCAGCGACAAAGGUAAACUGGGCUGAAGCCAGUUAUUUCUGGGACUGAUUUUAAACUUUGGAUAUUAUUUUCUCGCCCAAGCCUUUCAUCGAUUUUGUUCCUGGACCAUGUGUUUCAAAGCCCACGAACUACAGUGCACUGCUUUAGCCCAUCAGAACAACACAAGGAUUUUUACCCAUCCUAUAUCACCACAGCCAUAAUAAAAAGGAAAAAUAAAAAAUAAAAAAAUUCAUACAUAAGAUUUUAAUUAUAACUCAUUUCAAAAUUAAGAUAAACGGUUUGAAAUUUCAAAAAUCAAAUAUUUAUUAAAUUUUAUUUUUCAAGUAAUUAAUUAUAAAUAUAUUUUAUAAAUUAAAUAUAAGGUCACAAUUCUAUACAAUUUGAUGACAAAUAAUUGAAGUUACAAAUAAUUUCUUGGUCACAGUUAAAAUUUGAUAGAUCACAAAUUUAUCAAAUUAUUAGGUCACAUAUCAUUCUUUGGUCACAAAAUCACAAAUUUUAUAAAUCACAACUUAUUUUACGGUGAAAAAAUAUCAAAUUAAUUGCCAAAAAUUAUGUUUAGUCACUAAGUAUCAAAUCAUUGGUCACAAACAAAUAAGUUUUUAGGUCAUACAUUAUUUAUUUAUUACAAUUUAUCUAUUUUAUUCGUCACAUAUUAACCAAUUUAUGGGCCACAAACAAUCAAAUCAUUUUUGAAUACCUCCGUUACUUGUGACCACCAUCUUACCACUGCCACUAGUUGCAUCGUCGUUGAAACCACCAUUGCUAGAAUCACCACCACCUCUCGGCAACAAAACUAUCAUCUCAAACAUCGCAACCAAACACCACCACCACCACCACCACCACUCCACAACCACAACCCCAUAAAAAAAAUUUCCAAAUCUGCUGCAGGGGAACUACUACCAUCGCCUGUAUCAACAAUGACCAUCACCACUGCAUCAACCAUACACAACACCACCACAUUAAUGCCACCGCUACCUCACAAUCUGAAACAGAAAAAAAAACAAACAAAAAAACAAAACACCAUUGAGCAAGUGGCACUAUGAACACCGCUUGACGUUCAGAUUAGAGCUGCACAAUGCCGAUCUGAAUGUGCCGCUACAUACGACGCUCAAAUCAGUGCCGCACAAUGAUGUGACUUCUUUGUGCUUGGCGGCAGGAGAGUGGCGACAUGGCAUGCGGCCAAGAGAAAGACAAAAGAGCAGUGGCUGCGUGACAUGCGAAUAAAAGAAAGACAGGAGAUGAAGAUGACAGAGCAGCUUCAUAACAAAAUGCACGGUUGCACAACAGCACUAGGAGAUUGUCUCUUGCAACAUCGAUCCAUGUGAGGGAAAAAGAGAGAGAAUGGAGAGAUAUAAAGAGAGAAAUGAG